This 253-nucleotide ribosomal RNA is filed under the name uncultured bacterium. RNAcentral describes it as "partial 16S ribosomal RNA". It matches the Rfam family "Bacterial small subunit ribosomal RNA", at positions 524 to 776 of the family's 1533-position model. The record is from RNAcentral.
UACAGAGGUCCCAAGCGUUGUUCGGAUUCACUGGGCGUAAAGGGUGCGUAGGCGGGUCUUUAAGUCAGGGGUGAAAUCCUGGAGCUCAACUCCAGAACUGCCUUUGAUACUGAGGAUCUUGAGUUCGGGAGAGGUGAGUGGAACUGCGAGUGUAGAGGUGAAAUUCGUAGAGAUCAGGUGGAACACCGGAGGCGAAGGCGCCUGCCUGGCAGUGUAUUGACGCUGAGGUGCGAAAGUGCGGGGAGCAAACAGG